UACGUAGGGAGCAAGCGUUGUCCGGAAUCAUUGGGCGUAAAGCGCGCGUAGGCGGCCCCGUAAGUCCGCUGUGAAAGUCAAAGGCUCAACCUUUGAAAGCCGGUGGAUACUGUGGGGCUAGAGUACGGAAGAGGCGAGUGGAAUUCCUGGUGUAGCGGUGGAACGCGCAGAUAUCAGGAGGAACACCAAUAGCGAAGGCAGCUCGCUGGGACGUUACUGACGCUGAGGCGCGAAAGCGUGGGGAGCGAACAGG
This 253-nucleotide ribosomal RNA is filed under the name uncultured bacterium. Its description in RNAcentral is "partial 16S ribosomal RNA". It matches the Rfam family "Bacterial small subunit ribosomal RNA", at positions 524 to 776 of the family's 1533-position model. The record is from RNAcentral.